This 497-nucleotide ribosomal RNA is filed under the name uncultured bacterium. RNAcentral describes it as "partial 16S ribosomal RNA". It matches the Rfam family "Bacterial small subunit ribosomal RNA", at positions 28 to 507 of the family's 1533-position model. The record is from RNAcentral.
GACGAACGCUGGCGGCGUGCCUAAUACAUGCAAGUUGAGCGCUGAAGGUUGGUACUUGUACCAACUGGAUGAGCAGCGAACGGGUGAGUAACGCGUGGGGAAUCUGCCUUUGAGCGGGGGACAACAUUUGGAAACGAAUGCUAAUACCGCAUAAAAACUUUAAACACAAGUUUUAAGUUUGAAAGAUGCAAUUGCAUCACUCAAAGAUGAUCCCGCGUUGUAUUAGCUAGUUGGUGAGGUAAAGGCUCACCAAGGCGAUGAUACAUAGCCGACCUGAGAGGGUGAUCGGCCACAUUGGGACUGAGACACGGCCCAAACUCCUACGGGAGGCAGCAGUAGGGAAUCUUCGGAAAUGGACGAAAGGCUGACCGAGCAACGCCGCGUGAGUGAAGAAGGUUUUCGGAUCGUAAAACUCUGUUGGUAGAGAAGAACGUUGGUGAGAGUGGAAAGCUCAUCAAGUGACGGUAACUACCCAGAAAGGGACGGCUAACUACGUG